Molecule: ribosomal RNA, 252 nt
Filed under: uncultured bacterium
Lineage: Bacteria
Description: partial 16S ribosomal RNA
Rfam family: Bacterial small subunit ribosomal RNA
Source: RNAcentral
UACGUAUGGAGCAAGCGUUAUCCGGAUUUAUUGGGCGUAAAGCGAGCGCAGGUGGUUUAUUAAGUCUGGUGUAAAAGGCAGUGGCUCAACCAUUGUAUGCAUUGGAAACUGGUAGACUUGAGUGCAGGAGAGGAGAGUGGAAUUCCAUGUGUAGCGGUGAAAUGCGUAGAUAUAUGGAGGAACACCGGUGGCGAAAGCGGCUCUCUGGCCUGUAACUGACACUGAGGCUCGAAAGCGUGGGGAGCAAACAGG